Molecule: long non-coding RNA, 604 nt
Organism: Drosophila albomicans
Lineage: Eukaryota; Metazoa; Arthropoda; Insecta; Diptera; Drosophilidae
Exons: 3
Source: RefSeq, a predicted model, not a curated record
UCCUUCACUCCUCCACUCCUCUUAUCAGGCACUCUUUACCUCUCUUUCGCUUAUCGGCCAUUGCACAUUGCUCAUGUCUAUGUCAUACCCAAAAGUGCGAUAGCGAGAGCCAGACUGCCCCGAGACUGAGCGCAUCUGCCACGUGCAGCUCUUGAUUUAGUUGCGGCCUGGAGUCAACGACCAACCAGACCAGACCAGACCAAACCAGACCAGACCGGAGCAACCAACAGUUUUCGCUGGCCAUGGGAAUUGAAAUUAACGUCGUUGUCGUCGUCGUCGUUGUCGUUGUCGUUGUGGGUGGCAGCCUCAGCACAGGGGACGCCAAAUAACUGAAGGAGUGUCAGGGGACAUAGGGGAGAGAGAGAGAGAGUAGAGGGAGACCCCAGUUGACCAGGCAGGCCACUGACACAGAUACUCACAGCGUUGAACUCUGUCAGGGUGACAAAAAGUGCGAGAGAGAGACGGAGGGAGAACGAAAGAAUGAGACGGGAGGCUGGUUUUCAUGCAGUAAUGAAAGCACACGAAAAAUUCUCAUGUCAACAAGAAACGUUUUCCAGCCACCGCCACCACCGGAUGGUCCGAUGCAACCAAACGCUGGCCAAAC